Molecule: non-coding RNA, 364 nt
Organism: Coffea arabica (coffee)
Lineage: Eukaryota; Viridiplantae; Streptophyta; Magnoliopsida; Gentianales; Rubiaceae
Source: RefSeq, a predicted model, not a curated record
CAUCCACAUACAGCACAAUGGCAUCAAGAAGGGUUCAAUUGGUUUCACUCAUCCUCAUGACUCUUCUUCUUUCUGGAUAUUCUAAUGAGAUUAACGAUGACGAUGAUGGACCGUAUAGCGAUUGCAAGUUUGUUGGUACAUGCACCACAAGACUUGAUUGCAUCCAGCAGUGUGGCUACGUGGACUUGCACAUCAAUAAUGUUUUAUGCGUUCCUGGAUUUAGUGGUCUUCAAUGCUGCUGCAUUGUGCAUGAUCCGAGAUAAAAGAAGCUGUAGAUCCCAGAAAGGUCUGCCUAUUGUGAUGCUUGAAUUUGCAAUCAAUUUGACUAGCAUUUAAUCAAUAAAAAUAUUUUAUUUAAUUUGAA